UGGGACUGAGACACGGCCCAGACUCCUACGGGAGGCAGCAGUGGGGAAUUUUGUGCAAUGGGCGAAAGCCUGAUGCAGCGACGCCGCGUGGGGGAUGAAGCUUCUCGGAGUGUAAACCCCUUUCGACCCGGACGAAUGCCCCGCAGGGGAGUGACGGUACGGGUAUCAGAAGCCCCGGCUAACUACGUGCCAGCAGCCGCGGUAAUACGUAGGGGGGC
This 218-nucleotide ribosomal RNA is filed under the name uncultured bacterium. RNAcentral describes it as "partial 16S ribosomal RNA". It matches the Rfam family "Bacterial small subunit ribosomal RNA", at positions 314 to 535 of the family's 1533-position model. The record is from RNAcentral.